UAGAGAUAAGAUUCAAAAUCAGAAAAAUAGUGUAGUAAAAUUAGUUCUGUAUAGAGACAACAGCAGGUACGUGAAUGAGUGUUAAGGAAGGCUUACACAGAAGCAGUAGUUGACAUCAGAUUGUGCACAAGUAAGCCUUGGGCAAGGCUUGCACCCUAGCUACGGGAUCAGAUAUAGAUUUUUCAAAAUCUAUCAAAAUAAAAAGAAAGGAGAAAAUAAUAAAACAAAUAAAAAGGAGUCUUU
RNAcentral lists this long non-coding RNA (243 nucleotides) under Carica papaya (papaya). RNAcentral's name for it is "long non-coding RNA (CPAP_LNC000330)". The record is from RNAcentral. Lineage: Eukaryota; Viridiplantae; Streptophyta; Magnoliopsida; Brassicales; Caricaceae.